AUACGUAGGUCCCGAACGUUGCGCGAAAUUACUGGGCGUAAAGGGUCCGUAGGCGGUCUGGUAAGUGGAAGGUGAAAGCCUGGGGCUCAACUCCAGAAUUGCCUUCCAAACUGCCGGACUUGAGGCAGGGAGAGGUCGACGGAAUUCCCGGUGUAGUGGUGAAAUGCGUAGAUAUCGGGAGGAACACCAGUGGCGAAGGCGGCCGACUGGAACUGUCCUGACGCUGAGGGACGAAAGCCAGGGGAGCGAACCGGAUUAGAAACCCUAGUAGUCC
This 274-nucleotide ribosomal RNA is filed under the name uncultured bacterium. RNAcentral's name for it is "partial 16S ribosomal RNA". It matches the Rfam family "Bacterial small subunit ribosomal RNA", at positions 523 to 796 of the family's 1533-position model. The record is from RNAcentral.